RNAcentral lists this long non-coding RNA (956 nucleotides) under Astyanax mexicanus (Mexican tetra). Its description in RNAcentral is "lncRNA (ENSAMXG00005015721.1)". The record is from RNAcentral. Lineage: Eukaryota; Metazoa; Chordata; Actinopteri; Characiformes; Acestrorhamphidae.
CUUAAUUAAAAAAAUGCACCAGUAGCCAAUUAUCUGAAACUAUUUUACUGGAGCUGAAGCUCAUUGGUUAACCCAGACAUUGCUAGCCUCCUAUUGGAGCAGUGGGGCUUAAUCCCGCCUUUCUUCUAGAACUGAGUGGAAAACUAGGGAAGAAACAACCGGAACAAAAUGGUGGUGUGGAGCUUAGGAGGGAAAUGGCUGAAUAGCUGGAGGAAAACAAUAAAUUACACAGUUUCACAGUGUUUCCCAGCAGAAGAGGUCCAAACUCGAUAAUUCUGAGGAUUAUUUUAUCCUUUUUCUGUUUAGUUUGGGCUCUCCGUAUUCUAGCAAGGAGGUGUGGAGCUAUGGUGUGGAACUUUGAGCUGGAUAACACUGGAAAAAAAUGAUUUUUCGGGGCAAAUUAUGCCCUGUGUCACCCAGUCUGACGGAUGUUUGGACAAAUUGUUAACAUUUCUGGAUCUCAAAAUGCUGUGGCAGGGCGGAGGUGUGCUAUUCAUCAAAGAUCACGAUUAUCCCCCAGUUUACCGUCCCUAAUGUUCAGUGAGGGAGCUGCCGGCCUCUUUAUCAUGUCACAAGCCCCGCUGCAGAUGAAGAAUCUGCAGGACAGCAGGAAGGAGACUCACCCAUCCCUCCGGGUGCUAAUUGGUGUGGGCGGUUGAUUUGAAGCAGCGCUGGACACUGCGUGUUGGGGGACUCCAGGCCCGGGAAAAUGGAUGAGCUGGAGGAGGGUUUGCCGGUGAGUGGAGCAGCGUGGGAUGAACAAUGCGGCGAGAAGUUAUGGGGUAUUCAUGAGUGGGAUUUCAAAGUCUGAAUGCAAAUGAGAUAAUUGUGAUCGCAGUAAAGACUUUUGUUCCUCUGGCGAAGAGCAGAAAAAUCAGAAAGCUCUUUCUGUAGAACCUAUAGGCAAAAAAAAAAAAAAAAAAACUUGGACAAGGUCCUUCUGUGCUCUAGGCAAG